Molecule: ribosomal RNA, 496 nt
Filed under: uncultured bacterium
Lineage: Bacteria
Description: partial 16S ribosomal RNA
Rfam family: Bacterial small subunit ribosomal RNA
Source: RNAcentral
GAUGAACGCUGGCGGCGUGCCUAAUACAUGCAAGUCGAGCGAACAGACGAGGAGCUUGCUCCUCUGACGUUAGCGGCGGACGGGUGAGUAACACGUGGAUAACCUACCUAUAAGACUGGGAUAACUUCGGGAAACCGGAGCUAAUACCGGAUAAUAUAUUGAACCGCAUGGUUCAAUAGUGAAAGACGGUUUUGCUGUCACUUAUAGAUGGAUCCGCGCCGCAUUAGCUAGUUGGUAAGGUAACGGCUUACCAAGGCAACGAUGCGUAGCCGACCUGAGAGGGUGAUCGGCCACACUGGAACUGAGACACGGUCCAGACUCCUACGGGAGGCAGCAGUAGGGAAUCUUCCGCAAUGGGCGAAAGCCUGACGUAGCAACGCCGCGUGAGUGAUGAAGGUCUUCGGAUCGUAAAACUCUGUUAUUAGGGAAGAACAAAUGUGUAAGUAACUAUGCGCGUCUUGACGGUACCUAAUCAGAAAGCCACGGCUAACUACGU